AGAGUUUGAUUCUGGCUCAGAACGAACGCUGGCGGCGCGUUUUAAGCAUGCAAGUCGAGCGGCAAGGGCCUUCGGGCCCCUAGAGCGGCGGACGGGUGAGCAACACGUGGACAAUCGUGCCCCCCGGACCGGGAUAGCCCCAGGGAAACCUGGAUUAAUACCGGAUGAGACGGGACCCGCGAUGGCGGGAUCCGGGAAAGGCGCUGCGGCGCGCCGGGGGAUGAGUCUGCGUCCCAUUAGCUAGACGGCGGGGUAACGGCCCACCGUGGCGACGAUGGGUAGCCGGCCUGAGAGGGUGGACGGCCACAUUGGAACUGAGACACGGUCCAGACUCCUACGGGAGGCAGCAGGCUAAGAAUCUUCCGCAAUGGGCGAAAAGCCUGACGGAGCGACGCCCCGCGUGGACGAAGAAGGCCGUGAGGUUGUAAAGUUCUUUUCGGGAGGGGGAACAACCGUGGCAGGGAAUGGCCGCGGGAUGACGUGAAUCCCGGAAUAAGCCCCGGCUAACUACCGUGCCAGCAGCCGC
RNAcentral lists this ribosomal RNA (526 nucleotides) under uncultured bacterium. RNAcentral's name for it is "bacterial SSU rRNA". It matches the Rfam family "Bacterial small subunit ribosomal RNA", at positions 8 to 518 of the family's 1533-position model. The record is from RNAcentral.